This 1329-nucleotide long non-coding RNA is filed under the name Triticum aestivum (bread wheat). RNAcentral describes it as "long non-coding RNA (TAES_LNC025087)". The record is from RNAcentral. Lineage: Eukaryota; Viridiplantae; Streptophyta; Magnoliopsida; Poales; Poaceae.
AAAUCCACCAAUUCCAUUCUAUGCAUACAAUUCCAACUAAAACAAACACAUAGUUGCAAUAAACCAACAACAUUACACAUCAUUACUGAUCCAAGAUUUAUAAUAAACCAGCGGCAUUAGAGCACAUCCUGUAAGAGCAUACAUAUUGUCAUGGCUUUUCAUGCCUUCAAUUAAAACACCUACACUUCUUGAAGUCACUUACUCCCAGCUAGUGCAAACACAGUUACAAGCAAACCAAAAUGCAUAAGAACACCAAACAGUGGCAUCCUAUCUCUCCAGAUGAUCCGCUCCCUCUGCAUCCUUGCAAGCAUCUUCGCGAUAAGCAAAUCCAUUCGAAAAAAGUCAACUUAGCAUGUACUCCCUCUGUCAACUAUCCAAAGUAGAUUUUAUCCAUUGCCCUGGCCAUGUUCAAGAAACACUAAAUUAAGAAUAUUUCUACUCUAAAUACAUGAGGCAUUAGACAAAAAACAAAAGAUGAGCAAUAUCAUAUGAGCAGAAUAAAAAGGAGUUUGGACCAUAGCAUGGUUAACAAUAAAAUAUAGUGCUCUAACAAAAGCAAGAGUGCAACACGUUGCCCUGUUCCCCUUUCAAAUAUCAACACACUAAAAAGGCAAUAAACACAAACAUAUAAUUUUGGACUACAGCAAAAAUCAGUUGCAGAAAGUCAGGAAGAUUAUAUUGUUAAAGUAUUCCAUCUUCAGAUGUUAGAACAGGAUAUUGCAAAAGCAAAAUAUAUGAAAAUCAAAUACUGAAGCAGCUACAAUGCCCGAAUUGGCCUUUUACAGCAGGUGAGAAGCACACACUAAAACAUUAACAGCCAAGCACAUCAUAUCUGUUGAAACUACCUAAAUGGCACGGCAACAACACUUCCUUUUAAAUAGUUUUAGAAGACAUGCAUUUAAUGGCAGCCACAACAGUAUGCAUCUAGAUGCCCCUUUAACAUAACAUAAUUCUAGAUACUAGUCAUCAACCCGUGUUGCUGCACGGGCUAGAAAUUAAACUUUGAGAAUAAUAAAAAAUAUGAAAUGAUACAAUAUAUUUGAAUGGAUUAUAAGAUGUCAUGCAUUGUAGGAAAAAUGGUAAACUCGUAUGCAAUUAUAGUUUCGUUUGAAUGGAUGCAAGAUUAUAUGUGUCAUUAUCAUGAGUGUGCUACCUUUUGAAUCUUUACUUUUGCAAACGCUGCUAAGUUGUGAAUAUCAUUGCACCUAGAUAUAUUUUCUAAGACAUACACAGAGCAGGUUACCAAAGGAAAUAAGUUCAUGUAGGUGUUCUUAUGAGGAGUACCCUCUGUGUUCUACACUUUGUGGCCAAUGCAAUGUUCAAAGUCAG